AUUAGAUACCCUGGGUAGUCCACGCCGUAAACGAUGAAUACUAGGUGUCGGGGCCCACAGGGCUUCGGUGCCGCAGCAAACGCAUUAAGUAUUCCACCUGGGGAGUACGUUCGCAAGAAUGAAACUCAAAGGAAUUGACGGGGACCCGCACAAGCGGUGGAGCAUGUGGUUUAAUUUGAAGCAACGCGGAGAACCUUACCAAGCCUUGACAUCCUGCUGACCGUCCCUUAGCCGGGAUUUCCCUUCGGGGCAGCAGAGACAGGUGGUGCAUGGUUGUCGUCAGCUCGUGUCGUGAGAUGUUGGGUUAAGUCCCGCAACGAGCGCAACCCUUAUCCUUAGUAGCCAGCAUGUAAGAUGGGAACUCUGGGGAGACUGCCGGAGACAAUCCGGAGGAAGGUGGGGAUGACGUCAAAUCAUCAUGCCCCUUAUGGCUUGGGCUACACACGUGCUACAAUGGUGGUAACAAAGUGACGCGACCCCGUGAGGGCAAGCCAACCACAAAAAAGCCAUCUCAGUUCGGAUUGUAGUCUGCAACCCGACUACAUGAAGCUGGAAUCGCUAGUAAUCGCGAAUCAGAAUGUCGCGGUGAAUACGUUCCCGGGUCUUGUACACACCGCCCGUCACACCAUGGGAGUUGGAAAUGCCCGAAGCCGGUGACCGAACCUUAGGGACGGAGCCGUCGAAGGUGGAGCCAAUGACUGGGGUGAAGUCGUAACAAGGUAAC
This 724-nucleotide ribosomal RNA is filed under the name uncultured bacterium. RNAcentral describes it as "bacterial SSU rRNA". It matches the Rfam family "Bacterial small subunit ribosomal RNA", at positions 777 to 1500 of the family's 1533-position model. The record is from RNAcentral.